CCUGCUCUUUGAGAUGAUCGCCCACCGUAGCUCCGAACGAAGUGAGGAGCGUAGGUGGGAGGAACGUCCGGGCACUACUGGAACGCCAAGCGGGUAACACCCGUCGCCGUAUCAUAUAUCCUGUAAAGAUACGGUAGGACCAGUGCCACAGAGACGAGCCCCCGGCUUGCCGGGGGAGUGAAACGCCUCGGAGUACCGAGGAUCGUUACGGAGACCGUUACGACAAGUGUUAUGGGCUUUGCCCACCAAUAUGUCGUAGCGUCCAUAACGGAUGGCAAACUCUUGGUAGUGCAAGGAGGAUUUGGGUGUAUGGACUAUGUUCUGGUUCCGGAGCACCGUAUACCCCUCCGCACAGUGUCUUGCAAAAGACCGAGGCCGCUCAGUAAUGACGGCCCCAGAGAGAUGAUCAUCCUUCCGCAUAGUGCGGAAGAACAGAACCCGGCGUACAGAAGAUGCAGGAUUC
This 463-nucleotide RNase P RNA is filed under the name Candidatus Peregrinibacteria bacterium CG10_big_fil_rev_8_21_14_0_10_49_10. Its description in RNAcentral is "RNase P RNA component class A". It matches the Rfam family "Bacterial RNase P class A". Rfam says of the family: Ribonuclease P (RNase P) is a ubiquitous endoribonuclease, found in archaea, bacteria and eukarya as well as chloroplasts and mitochondria. The record is from RNAcentral. Lineage: Bacteria; Candidatus Peregrinibacteriota.